CGCUUAAUCAUGAAGUUAACACCAACUAUGAGCGUAUGGGUAUUAGUUUGAAAACUAUUAAGCGA
Molecule: transfer RNA, 65 nt
Filed under: Lissachatina fulica (giant African snail)
Lineage: Eukaryota; Metazoa; Mollusca; Gastropoda; Stylommatophora; Achatinidae
Description: tRNA-Ser
Source: RNAcentral